RNAcentral lists this ribosomal RNA (484 nucleotides) under uncultured bacterium. RNAcentral describes it as "partial 16S ribosomal RNA". It matches the Rfam family "Bacterial small subunit ribosomal RNA", at positions 30 to 507 of the family's 1533-position model. The record is from RNAcentral.
AUUGAACGCUGGCGGCAGGCCUAACACAUGCAAGUCGAGCGGAUGAAGGGAGCUUGCUCCUGGAUUCAGCGGCGGACGGGUGAGUAAUGCCUAGGAAUCUGCCUGGUAGUGGGGGAUAACGUCCGGAAACGGGCGCUAAUACCGCAUACGUCCUGAGGGAGAAAGUGGAGGAUCUUCGGACCUCACGCUAUCAGAUGAGCCUAGGUCGGAUUAGCUAGUUGGUGGGGUAAAGGCCUACCAAGGCGACGAUCCGUAACUGGUCUGAGAGGAUGAUCAGUCACACUGGAACUGAGACACGGUCCAGACUCCUACGGGAGGCAGCAGUGGGGAAUAUUGGACAAUGGGCGAAAGCCUGAUCCAGCCAUGCCGCGUGUGUGAAGAAGGUCUUCGGAUUGUAAAGCACUUUAAGUUGGGAGGAAGGGCAGUAAGUUAAUACCUUGCUGCUUUGACGUUACCAACAGAAUAAGCACCGGCUAACUUCGUG